AGCUCCAACGAAUUAAACGUGGUUAUGAAUGCUGAGUUCAAAAGCUUGCUUGACUACUGUUCAGCUAAUAAACUCACGACCAUCCCACAACAGGCCAACGCCCAUACAAAAGAAGAAAAUGCUACGUGUGUGGGGGACGGGGGCACACCGCCAGCAAGUGCCCCUCCCGCGAUGACAUCCGACUGAUGAGAGAUCCUACCACCUGUACUAAUUGCGGAGGGGUGGGGCAUGCCUCUUUGGCAUGUCCUACCCCUUCCAAUAGGGGUACCAAGGAAGAAAGGAGUAUGUAAACAUUCACUCUAAAUUAUUCGUUGAUUUUACUUCAUUACUUUUUUUUCAUUUUCAGUGGCAGCAUUCUUGAAUAAUAUUGACGAAGCAAAAAAAACUUUGAGAAGUAAUGUAUACAGAACGAGAGAGCGUGUUGUAUCACGUUUUAAAUAGAUCCGGAUCUCUUUAGCCCCGAUACAACACGCUCUCGAGUUCUGUAUACAGCUAAUCAAACUUUAUUUAAUACUUUACAUUUUCAUGUUUUUGAAAAAUUGAUUGAAUAUCUUGCGAUAAAAAUUAUCAGCGGUAACGUACGUCGUCUUCAUUAAAUAUUCAUCAAAUAUAACUGUUUGUAUGGUGCCAUUGUUUCACGAAAUGACUGAAUUAUCAAGGGAAUUUCCAUGCCCAAGCCAUCACCUGCAAACAUUGAAGCAAUUCAGAUUGUUAAAACGAAAUAAAGAACAAUAUAAA
Exaiptasia diaphana is the source of this 738-nucleotide long non-coding RNA. RefSeq lists it as uncharacterized. NCBI's taxonomy places the organism in Eukaryota, Metazoa, Cnidaria, Anthozoa, Actiniaria, Aiptasiidae. The transcript is spliced from 5 exons. The record is from RefSeq and is a predicted model, not a curated record.